GCCAGGCACAGAACAACACACAGCCAGGCACAGAACACCACACAGCCAGGCACAGAACACCACACAGCCAGGCACAGAACACCACAGCCAGGCACAGAACACCACACAGCCAGGCACAGAACACCACACAGCCAGGCACAGAACAACACACAGCCAGGCACAGAACACCACACAGCCAGGCACAGAACACCACACAGCCAGGCACAGAACACCACACAGCCAGGCACAGAACACAGCCAGGCACAGAACACCACACAGCCAGGCACAGAACACCACACAGCCAGGCACAGAACACCACACAGCCAGGCACAGAACACCACACAGCCAGGCACAGAACACCACACAGCCAGGCACAGAACAACACACAGCCAGGCACAGAACACCACACAGCCAGG
Oncorhynchus tshawytscha (Chinook salmon) is the source of this 395-nucleotide long non-coding RNA. Lineage: Eukaryota; Metazoa; Chordata; Actinopteri; Salmoniformes; Salmonidae. The record is from Ensembl.